CCUACGGGUGGCAGCAGUGAGGAAUAUUGGUCAAUGGGCGGGAGCCUGAACCAGCAAAGCCGCGUGAGGGAAGAAGGUACAGCGUAUCGUAAACCUCUUUUGUCAGGGAACAAAGGCGGGGACUAGUCCCCGGAUGAGGGUACCUGAAGAAAAAGCAUCGGCGAACUCCGGGCCAGCAGCCGCGGUAAUACGGGGGAUGCAAGCGUUAUCCGGAGUUAUUGGGUUUAAAGGGUGCGUAGGGGGGGAGGUAAGUCAGCGGGGAAAUGCCCCCGCGCAACGGGGUGGAGGGCCAUUGAUACUGGCGUGCUGGAAUGCGGAUGCGGUGGGAGGAAUGUGUGGUGUAGCGGUGAAAUGCAUAGAUAUCACACAGAACACCGAUUGCGAAGGCAUCUCACGAAUCCGCGAUUGACGCUGAUGCACGAAAGCGUGGGUAUCAAACAGGAUUAGAUACCCGUGUAGUC
RNAcentral lists this ribosomal RNA (461 nucleotides) under uncultured bacterium. Its description in RNAcentral is "partial 16S ribosomal RNA". It matches the Rfam family "Bacterial small subunit ribosomal RNA", at positions 338 to 795 of the family's 1533-position model. The record is from RNAcentral.